This 482-nucleotide ribosomal RNA is filed under the name uncultured bacterium. Its description in RNAcentral is "partial 16S ribosomal RNA". It matches the Rfam family "Bacterial small subunit ribosomal RNA", at positions 30 to 507 of the family's 1533-position model. The record is from RNAcentral.
AUUGAACGCUGGCGGCAUGAUUUACACAUGCAAGUCGAACGGUAACAGGCCGCAAGGUGCUGACGAGUGGCGCACGGGUGAGUAAUGCAUCGGAACGUGCCCAGUCGUGGGGGAUAACUACUCGCAAGAGUAGCUAAUACCGCAUACGAUCUAUGGAUGAAAGCGGGGGACCGUAAGGCCUCGCGCGAUUGGAGCGGCCGCUGUUAGAUUAGGUAGUUGGUGGGGUAAAGGCUCACCAAGCCAACGAUCUGUAGCUGGUCUGAGAGGACGACCAGCCACACUGGAACUGAGACACGGCCCAGACUCCUACGGGAGGCAGCAGUGGGGAAUUUUGGACAAUGGGCGCAAGCCUGAUCCAGCAAUGCCGCGUGCAGGAAGAAGGCCUUCGGGUUGUAAACUGCUUUUGUACGGAACGAAACGGCUCUGGUUAAUACCCGGGGCUAAUGACGGUACCGUAAGAAUAAGCACCGGCUAACUACGUG